This 582-nucleotide long non-coding RNA is filed under the name Brassica napus (rape). Its description in RNAcentral is "long non-coding RNA (BNAP_LNC003516)". Lineage: Eukaryota; Viridiplantae; Streptophyta; Magnoliopsida; Brassicales; Brassicaceae. The record is from RNAcentral.
ACCCAACUCCACACCCGGUCUAAUAUCAUUAAAGCACGAAAGAGGACAAUAAGCCCACGAAGGUUCAAGGCCCAUCCUGAUCUCACAGAUGGCCUAUGCCGAGCUGACGUACUCAAACCACAAUGUAACAUAGGUCAAAGCAUAAAUACAUACAUAAAGGCAUCUGAUAUUCGUCAUAUCACGUCCCCGUGUUGAUCCACAUGAUAUACACCAAUAAAAGAGAGACAAAGGACAAGAAGCAGGGGAUCCGAAUUCUUUCUAAGCAAUUACAUACUUUCAAUACCUUUGUACUCUCUUGUUUUAGAUAUCUUUUGUAUCUCAUCAUUGUAUUCCCAUAUUAUCAAUCAAAUACACAUUUUUCAUGUCAGCUUCGAGAGCUUCUACUUCUGAAAUACACCAAAAUCUUUGUAAAAGAUUAGAAAACAAAUAUGUAAAAGAGAUGUAAUCCCAAUCAUGAAAUUAAUUAUUCCUACAACAACUUUAUCUACCCUGAGCUCUUAUUCGGCAAGGCCAAUGAGUAACAGCAUAGCUCCUUGCAAGUGUUUAUUAAAAUUUGGAACUCAUUCCAUCACCAUCCCCCUC